This 27059-nucleotide long non-coding RNA is filed under the name Nicotiana tabacum (common tobacco). Its description in RNAcentral is "long non-coding RNA (NTAB_LNC008965)". The record is from RNAcentral. Lineage: Eukaryota; Viridiplantae; Streptophyta; Magnoliopsida; Solanales; Solanaceae.
CUCCUUCACGUCGGCCACCUCCGUAACCACCGCCGCCGCCUCCACUUCCACGAGCCUGAGCUUCGUUAACGGUAAUGCUACGGCCGUCAAGUUCCUGACCGUUCAUCCCUUCGAUUGCAUCCCUCAUGCAUUUCUCAUCCUUAAAGGUAACAAAGCCAAAUCCUCUAGAUCUGCCAGUUUCUCUGUCGUUAAUGAUCUGAAAAAUAAAAGUAAAACAAAACUAAGCUCAGAUCUAACAGAUCUACAACGUUUACACGCAAAAUAAUUAACCGAUCUAUCUUCAUCUCUUGACAAAAAGAGAAAAAAGACGGAACGUACCGUUUCAAGGGUAUAACAGUAAUAACAGUAACAGUAACAGUAACAGAUGAAUCAAGUAAACCAGAGAUUAAUAAACAGUAAUCAGUAACAGAAGGUCAUCAACAAAGCCAAAAAAUGGGCCCGGAUUCGAUUUCUGCUCUGCGCAACAAACGGACCUUCGAGUCGAGAACUUCGCCGUAUGUACCGAAAGCAUCAGCUAAGGUUCUAUCGGUGGUAGCCCAUGCGAGCCCACCGACGAAGCAACUGUAUUCUACUUCAGCCAUUUUACUACACUGAGAAAAGAGAGAAGAGGAUAAACCCUAAAGGAAAAUAUCAGAAAGAAGAGAUGGGGUGAAAUUGAUGUAGAAAAACCCAUUCUUUUAUAGGCGGAGAUGGCUCUAGUGUCUAUGGGCUUUUAAGUAAUUGGAUUUCGCGUCUCGGUCUAUGACGUCAUUAUGGCAUAUCAAUUUCUUGAGCUUACCAACUUGUUUAAACCUCUUAUAUUUUCCACCGAAAUUGUAUUUCAGAUGUGAAUUAUGACCACAUCAAGUUUUUGACUUUAAAUACUACUCCCUCUUUUUCAAAUUAUGUGAACUUUUUUGGUCUGUUUCAAGAAGAAUGAUCCCUUUUUAAAUUUGGUAAUAAUUUAGUUUAAAUUUACAAUUCUACUUUUAAUGAGAAACUUUUAUAACCACACAAAUAUUCUGGACCCUUUUUGACUUAUUUAGGUCAUCUCCAACAUUGCCCCUAUCCCCCGUAAUGGGGGAAAUAUUUGGGGGAAUUUAGCUCCAACCCUUCCCUAUUUUUGUCCCCAAAAUGGGGAAUGAAUAGUGUUCCCUCAAAUAUGGCGGUACACUAUUCAUCUCCUCCAUUACUAUUCAUCACUUUUUAUUAUUAUUUUAUUAUUUAGUCUUUUAAUUUAUCUCUUUAUAUAUACCUAAUUAUGUUUAUGUAAUGUAUUUAUAAUAUUAAUAUUAUAUCUUAACUUUGGUGUAUAAUUUUAAUAAAUUAAUUUUCGUGCAUUUAUUAUUUUUAUGUAGAAAUGGCAGUAGAUGAAAUCAACGAUUUCAAGAAUUUUUAUUUCAACAUAGAAGAAUUAAGGACAAAGAUGCUCAUUUUGCACUUCGUAAUGCAUUAAUAGAUCAUUUAUAGAAAAAUACUAGAGGUUGAAGUUGAAUAUGUAUCUAGUAUUUCGAAUGAAUUUUAUCGUUAUGCAAUAUGUAUUUAAUUAAUCUUGUAUCACAAUGAUUUCACUUUUAUUGGAAUUAUUAGUUAAUCUAUAAUAAUUGCUUACAAAUUAUAUUAUUUAAAAUUUUAUGGAAUUGUUUUAAUUAUGAAAAUUACAAAUUAAUAAAAAUAAAAGAUGGAAUUUGUUUAAUGGAAAUUAAAAAAUGAAAUGAAAGAUAAUAAUAUAAUAUAGAAGAGAGAUAAGAAUAUAAAAAAGUUUGGGGAAAAAAUGGGGGAAUGGUUGGAGUAAGCUGUCCCCAAAAUGGGGUAAAGAUUGGAGAUGCCCUUAGGAUCACAAAUUCCAAAAGUCUUCAUUUUUUCUUAAGCUUCGUGCCCAGUCAAACAGGUUCACAUAAAUUUGAACGGAGGGAGUAUAUACUAAUCAAAAAUAUUUAUAACGUCUAGUAAGAUCCAUCGUAGUCUAUAAUAUACGAAAAGCGAAGAUAAGAUGGUUCAUGCAAGUGCACAGAAAGAGCGCAAUUGCUCCAGUGAGGUGCGAGAGGUUGGUAGUGAUAAAUCUAAGGAGAGAUAGAGGAAGACCGAGAAAAAAUUAGGGAGAGAUGAUUAAACAGGGCAUGACACAUCUUCAGAUCAACGAGGACAUUGAUCCAUGACCCUAGAUAUGAGAGCAUGAAGGUCAAGGAAUAGGGUAGCUGAUUAGUAGAUAGUCGAGCGAUUUUUCUCUUUUCUGUAGGAGAGAAAGAUUCUAGUUUAAAGAACUUUAUAUGCUUCCUCUCCUACUCGUCAAUAGGGUUGUUUAAAUCCGAACUGUAAAGUGGCUUAUUGGCUUAUUGGUAUCGGGUUAUCGGAUUAACAAUUGGGAAACGAAUUGAAAUUUUAUAAUUAAUGGUCCAUCGAUUCGGGGGAGGAUUACUCAAUUUUCUUAUCGGAUAAACCAUUAACCCGUUAAGAAUUGUUAUAUUUAUAUUUUUACCCAUUAUGAAACAGCUUCUUAGCAGCUUGAGCUUCAAUGUCAUCAUAACUUAUUUUUGGGGUAGGACUAGACUGAUAUAGAUAGUUCUUGUUACCUUUCUACUCAAAUAAAUCAUUUAACUUGAUAAUUGAAGCAAAAGUAAUGUUAACUGAACUUCUAUUAUUAGUUAAAGAUCCUCAAUUUGUAUUCUAGUUGCUUGUUGUAAAAGAAUUAAAGAAGAAAAAAUGGUCAUUAACAAUGAGGUUCAUUAGUGCACUGGAGUGUGAUUGCGAUUAGAUCGUCUAUCUAUUAUCUACUGUCUUGCUUACUUAUGUAAUUUUUAUUGUCUAUUUGAUUUAGCCAAUAAAUGCUCGAUAAUCGCUAAUCCGAUAUCGGUCCGCCCGAUAUGUUAUAGGGUGGCUAGCGAAUUAGUACUUCUAUAAGCCGAUAACUGAUAAACUGAACCGCUAAGCAUAAAUAUCUGCCCAAUUUGCUGAUAAGCAGCCCUACUUGUCAAUAUCAUUAUUCUAGUUUAAAGAACUUUAUUUGGCUUAAAUUCUAAUUCAAACUACCUUAAAUAUCUAUCAAAUUUUUCCAAAACUAAAAUUCAAACUCCUUGAGAUUUACACAAAUUAUUACAAUAAUACCCACUUGAUACAAAUUUCAAUUUCCGAAAUCUAAAUUUUCAAAUUUAUACUUAAGUGGGCUUCAAUAACUUUUAAAGAAGUUGUGACUCAACUUUUAAUGAAGUUGUGACUCAUCUUCAUUACUUUUCAAAGUAUUUGACUAAACUGUUGUAUCAAAAUAGAUAUAUCAUUAAUUUUAAACUUAGUUUCUUUCAUGAGGUUUGUGUUUUUUGUGAUAUCAUAAAUGCUAUUAUUUCUUGAUUUUAUCUAAUAAGACUUGGAUUGUGACGAAUCGAGGAUGGCACAAAUGAGAAGUUGGGAACAACAUAAGUAGCAAUACUAUUGACUCUCAGGAAACAAUUAGUAAGAAGGGAAAAAGACCAUUAUUGCUCAUGUACUAAUGUAAAUAGUAUAUGUUUGAACUUCCAUUUCACUUUACGUUCAAAAUCCGCCCUACCGUUAACAAACAUGAUAGAACUGCUCCUAAUCCUAAUGGAUGGCCACUGUGGCUCCUGACCCCGCAAAAUUUUUCCACAUAGGAUUCCAAGUCAGCUUUCCAUUAAGUUGAAAGCCUAGUUUGAUAUGACCAAUUUCACUCCCAAAUUUUGUUGACCCAUUUCACUGUGAAAAUAGUGGCUCAUACCCAACGGUUUCUUCUUCUCCCCCAAAAGACACUCCAUUGCUUAGAAUUUAGUGUUCGACUGAAAUCUUGCCAAAAUUUCUCUUCUUCAUUCUCCUCGUAUCUUUGGUUCAUAAAUAUCGCAAGAUAGUUGUUCAUCACAUAUUAGGUGUCAUUGUGGAAUCAUAGCCAACCACUUCACUUCGUCGACUCUAUAUAACCUCGGAAGAAAAUUGUACAAAUGUAUGAGGCCUAAGGUUGUUUAAUUUCAGUUUUCUCUUUUUUAAACAAGAAUUUAUUGUAAUUAUGAAUCUACAAGUUUAGAGUUUUGUAAUGAUCAGCUAAAUGAUCUUUUUAAAUUAUGUUUGACAGCCUAGUUCAUGUGGGUUUUAGGAAUGAAAAGAUAAAAUCUUCCCGCAAUGUGAUUGGACUAAUAUUAAAGAUGUAAUAUCGUCGAUAGAUGAGGUUAAGAUGGAAAGGGGCGAAUUGAAGGAAGAAGUAAUUGCCAUGAAGGCUAUACACCAAUAUGAAGUGAAUAAAGUCAUCAAGUUGGAAUAUAAAGUUGCAAAGACAAGGAUGUUGCUUAUAAUUUCUUGGGAACUUUUCUUGAUUUCUUUGUAGCCUCGAUGAUGAAGUGACUUUUUUGCGAAGACAAGGUUGCUGAUUUUGAGUUAUAUAUCUGUAGCUGACUUUUAGGUCAAUUAUGCUAUGGUGUAGUAGUAUUUGUCACAGUAGUAGUAUUUGCUUUCCAGCCAUGUGCUGCAGGUUCGAUGAUGUUCGUAUAGUAGUAUUUGUUGGUCAAUUUUUUCCCUUAGUGUAUGAUGAUAGUGUAGUAUUCGUUGAUUUCCCUUAGUAGUAUAUGUGUUGCAUAUUUGAUUGUUUUAAAUGUCAUGUUGAAUAUUGAACUAAGUCAUUUAAUUACUUUCAAUCCAAUUUAUUUGACAUAAAAGAUAGCAGCAAAUGUAAAAGUAGAAAACUUACAUGCCAGUCGUAAAAAUGGAUAUAAUUGGAUAACUGAAGUUGAAAAGAGAACAAAACGGACAAUAAUGAAUUGAACAUUCAUCAACAAAUAUUCAUCUUGAUUCAUAAUGUACCAACUAUCAACAUUCAUAAUGUGUGUUUAAUAAGACAAGUGGAUACCAUAUUAUAACCCAAAAAGAUGUCAACACCUAGUUAUAAUAUGGCAUCCAACUAUCACAACCAAAGAACCACAACCAAAAUAUAAAAUUUACUGUCAUGGCAGUAAUUACAACACUUUUAAAAAUUGACAUCAUAAAAGAAGCUCACUAGAAGCAGAUUUUCAUCAAUUCUACUCCUUACCACGACCCAUUCUUGCUUGCAACUUGGUCAACCUUUGUUUGUUCAACUAAUUUUCAGUAAUGGCAGAAUUUUUCAGCCAUGUUAGCUCCUUUGCUGAGAAAGUAAGCUUUGAUGGUUGACUUACACCGCUUGAAUCACCAACAAAUCCAAUUUGCAUGGUUGCAUCUAGUACAUUUUGUUGUCUCAACUGGAGUCUUGUCCUUGCCUCUAAGAUACUCUUUGGUCUUAUCACUUUCAUCACAAUCAGUGGCAGCUUCAAGUUCAUCAGGUUCAUCAAACUCAUUAUGAUAGAUUAUAUUAGGUAUAUUAAUACUUGGCUCACAUGCCUCUACAACAAAUAUGUUAAUAACAUUAAACUGGUUGUUAACAAAGUCCAAUAAAGUCCUAAUGCCAUAAUCACCUUUUAUUUCAUAGUAUGUACCAGAAGGACCAUUAACUAUCAGUUGUUAGACUCAUACCCUAAGUUAGAAAUAUAUUCAUCCACUAAAUCAUUAUAGGAAAGCAAGUCAGAAUCAAAACUUUACUUGGUGUGCACAAAUUUUCUUGAGUAUGCCAUGAGUGAUUCUUAACCCACUCUACCAUGAUAAAAGAUCAAAUCCAGUAGGACCCUUGUCAGUAAACUAUAGAAUAAAGAAUAUACAUAUUGAAGACACACUAAAAUCACAUAAGGUACUUAAGUAGAAGAAUAAAAAUAUAGAAACAGUAUCAAAUACACACUAAAACGAGUCAACAUAAACAAACAAAAACAAAUGGAAGAAUUAAAAUAAUAGUUAAACUACAUGAAGUACAGCUGGAAACCCCCAAACAAACCAGAUAAGGUAUAGAGAUAAAGGCAUAAAAAUAAAAAUUGUGAGGUACCACAUAUUGAAGAAGUCAUGGAUAUGAGGGACUAUACAUUAAAGUAACAAAUAAAGUGACUUCUGCCCCACCCUCCAAUAAACAAUGCAGAAAAGAACAAAUGAAAACCAAUACAAAAAAUCUGAUUCACUUAUUUUCUACAAAAAAAAAGGUGGGACCACCAAAUAUUAAAUUGAAACCCUAAACCACCAAAGGACUUUUCAAUACCAAGAAAUAAUAAACAAGAUAUGAGGCACAUGCAAAUAAAAAGAAUAAAAUUAGGGUUUAAUAAUGAAAAACUACAUGCAAGUGAAUACAAAUGCAAAAACACACACCUAACAGCUUGAAAUUAUCGAUAAAGAAAGAGAUAAGUGAAAACCCUAACCAACCAAGAACAAUUUUGAAAACCCUAACUCCAUUAAACAACAAAUUCGAAACCCUAUGACAACUAUACUUUGGUUACACACGCCUAUCAGCCUGAAAUAAUCAAUAAUGAAAGGGGGAACUGAAAUAUCUAAACAACCAAGAACAAAACUGAAAGGGAAAAAUCUACAUAUAUAACACAUUCGAAACCCUAGUAAAACUUCACUUCAGUUACAUAUAAGAAAGAGAUAAAACUAACAGAAACAUUAAGUUUUUUGGAAUAAUUUCUUACUUUUAGUUGAAAUUGGCACUGAAACGCAAUGAUUCUACAGACGGUCUUUGUUCUCUCGUUUUCUUUCAAGUACUAGAAGGUUCAACAAAAUGAAGGUCUCUACUCAUUUUUUUCGGGUUAUUUCUAUUUAUUUAGUGGGCAAACGGUUGCGGGUCAAUAUUUUGGGAAUGAAAUAGUUCAAUAUAAUUUGGAGUGAAAUCGGUCAUAUCAAACUAGGCUUUCAACUUAAUAGAAAGCUGACUUGGAAUCCUAAGUGGCAAAAUUUUGCAGGGUUAGGUGCCACAGUGGCCAUCCGUUAGGGUUAGGGGCAGUUCCAUCAAGUUUGUUAACGGUAGGGUGGGUUUUGGAUGUAAAGCGAAAUGGAGGACAAACGUGUACUGUUGCGACCAAAAACACUCACGCAAGUGCACGUGAUCGUCAAGUAAUAGAGAAGUGAGUAGAGUAUCGUUCCCACGAAGACUUAUGAUUAACUGUGACUAAUUCAAACCUAAUUUCUGUAUCUACCCAAGAGAUUGUUCACAAAAGAGAGAUGUAAUUGUUUUACUACUUAAACUAUAAAGAAUUAAUCUAACUAAACCAAGUAACCAAACGAAUAGCAAUUUCGAGUAACAAACAGUAGGAGAGGAUAUUCCAGGGUCACGGGUAUAGUUAACAAUCGUGUUGUGUUCUUGGCUUAGAAUGACUAAUCAAUUUGUCUGGGUUAUUGAUUGACAGGGUUGAUAUUACUCAUAAGAAUCUGUUGAGUUCUUACUCACUUAUUCAAGUCAACUCAAUGCCUAUAUGUCUAUGGAAUUAAGAUUAACAAGAACGCAUUUAUAAUUCCUGUAUUUCAACCAAGCAAGGCAAUUGGAUAUAUGUCUAUCCCAAUUGCGAAUCCGNNNNNNNNNNNNNNNNNNNNNNNNNNNNNNNNNNNNNNNNNNNNNNNNNNNNNNNNNNNNNNNNNNNNNNNNNNNNNNNNNNNNNNNNNNNNNNNNNNNNNNNNNNNNNNNNNNNNNNNNNNNNNNNNNNNNNNNNNNNNNNNNNNNNNNNNNNNNNNNNNNNNNNNNNNNNNNNNNNNNNNNNNNNNNNNNNNNNNNNNNNNNNNNNNNNNNNNNNNNNNNNNNNNNNNNNNNNNNNNNNNNNNNNNNNNNNNNNNNNNNNNNNNNNNNNNNNNNNNNNNNNNNNNNNNNNNNNNNNNNNNNNNNUUUUUCUCCAGAUUUCCAAUUCUACCCUAAAUAACGUUUUUCCGGACCGGACACGCGCGAGCUCGCGCAUAACUUCGCGCGUUUCUUCGCGCAUGAUUCUGCCUCGGCCUUUCUUACGCGCGAACUCCUGCGCGCCUUCGCGCAUUUCUUCGCGCACCUGGAGCUUGAUUUCGUCCAUUUUUUCAUCUCGUCCUUGCGCGCACUCAACUCCGAGGGGUUGUUCUUGCUCAUAAAUCAUUGUAAUAUCCUCUUGAAAGCAUCAUACAGGCUCCUCGUCCUGCAAUGUAUACAUAUCACAAUUAAAGCCUAUUUUUCAUCAAUUAACCAUAAUAUGUCAUUGGAAUAUAAUCAAGCGGAAGCAUAAACAAUAGCUAAAUCACCUAGAUUUUGCCUAUUAUCAUGUACUAUUUAUAAUAGUACAUGAGCAAUUACGGUCUUUUUCCCUAUUAAGAAAAAAAAAAGCGAACUAUUACUGCUCUUUUAGCACAUGAUAAGGUUAGCAAUCAAAUUUACAUGAAAGAACACGAGUGAUUAGACAUCUAAUUAUUUUGCCAAGCUCAUAUUCCUCACUUUAUUAAGAAUUAAUUUUGUUAUUUUUCUAUCAAGAGAAAGAGGUUAGAACUAGAGUAAGCCAAGAGAAAGAGAAAAUCAUACAAAUAGCUAAUUGAGCUAAUACUAAUAGUAUUUGACUAAGAUUAGUAAUAUUUUAUAAAUUAAUUAAUAUUGGUAGCAUUUGUACUAUAAAAAGUUAAACUAGGUAGUUUUCACUUAUUCAUAUCUCCAGAAGUUUUACAAAGCAAAUAAGCAUUGGCAUAUAGAUUAAGAAAUAUAGAAAUUUGAAAUAAAAGAAUAGAAGAAUAUUGUAAAGAAAAUGGAGAGGGAAUUCUAUUGAUUUGAGAUGAAUUGUAACGGAAUAUAAUUCCUCUAUUUAUAGAAAAAAGUGACUUGGCCACAAAGUAACAAACCUUAGACAUUCACCUUAAAUAAAAUUCUAUUUAUAACACUCUCCCUAAAAUGUCUAUUCAACAAAUAAUGUGCCUCGUUAACACCUUAACUAAAAUAAAACCCAGUGGAAAAAAUUCUAGUGAAGGAAAAAUAAUGCACAUAUUUAAAAAUACGUCUUUUGGUUGCCUCGUUAAAAACCUUUCAAGGAAAAUCCAGUGGGACAAAACCUUAUAAGGGAAAAAGAGUACAACACAUAUUAAUUCCCCCUGAUGAGAGCAUCAAUUCACGUCUUUAAGCCUUCGCAUUCCGAUCUUGUACACUAGCUUCUUGAAGGUUGACAUCGGUAGAGAUUUGGUGAACAAAGCAGCCAUAUUAUCACUUGAACGAAUUUGUUGCACAUUGAUAUCACUAUUCUUUUGAAGAUCAUGAGUAAAAAAUAACUUUGGUAAAAUGUAUUUUGUCCUAUCUCGUUUUAUGAAUCCUUCCUUCAAUUGGGUUAUGCAUGUUGCAUUGUCUUCAUACAAAAUUGUGGGUAAUUUGUCAUACUUCAAACCAUAUUUUUCUCAAAUAAGAUGUAUUAUAGACCUCAACCACACACAUUCUCGACUUGCUUCAUGAAUAGCAAUUAUCUCAGCAUGAUUAGAUGAAGUAGCUACGAUUGAUUGCUUAGUCGAUCGCCAAGAUAUGACAGUACUUCCAUAUGUAAACACAUAGCCUGUUUGAGAUCGAGCCUUGUGAGAGUCGAAUUAAUACCCAGCAUCGGCAUAACCAACAAGAUCGGAACUGCAAUCAUUGCCAUAAAAUAAACUCAUAACGCUAGUCCUUUUUAGAUACCACAAUAUAUGUUUGAUUCUAUUCCAAGGUCUCCUUGUAGGAGCAGAGCUAUAUCUUACUAAGAUAUUAAUUGAAAAAGUUAUGUCGGGCCCUUGUAGUAUUAGCAAGAUACAUUAGUGCACCAAUUGCACUAAGAUAUGGUACUUCAGGAUCAAGUAGCUCUUCAUUAUUUUCUUAAGGUCGGAACGGAUCCUUAUACAUAUCAAGUGAUUGAACAACCAUCGGAGUACUUAAUGGAUGUGCUCCAUCCAUGUAAAACCAUUUAAAUACCUUUUCUAUAUAGGCAGAUUGAUGAACAAAAAUCUCAUUUGCCAAAUGUUCAAUUUGCAAACCGAGACAUAAUUUUAUAUUUCCGAGAUCUUUCAUCUAGAAUUUCCUCUCUAAAUAAUCAAUUGUCUUUUGGAGUUCUAUAGGAGUUCCAAUAAGGUCUAUGUCAUCAACAUAUAUGGCAAGUACAACAAAUUGCGAUAUUUUUUUCUUUAUAAAAACGCAUGGGCAAUUAUACCAUAUUCAUUUUGAUUGCUUUAGACCAUACAAAGAUCUUUGCAAUUUGAUUGAAAAUAUUUUUUGAGACUUUGAAUUAUGUGAUCGGGCAUUUUAAAUCCUUCAAGAAUUUUCAUGUAUAUCUCAUUAUCAAGUGAGCCAUAAAGGUAGGGUGUAACCACAUCCAUUAAAUGCAUGUCAAGCUUUUCAUGGACAACAAAGCUAAUGAGAUAAUGAAAUGUUAUUGCAUCCAUAACAGGUGAUUAUGUCUCUUUAUAAUCGACCUAAGGCCUUUGUGAAAAUCUUUGUGCAACAAGGCGUGCCUUAUAUCUUUGCACCUCAUUUUUAUCAUUGCUUUUACGUACAAAGACCCUUUUAUAGCCAACACACUUAACACCAUUAGGUGUUUGGACUACAUGCCCAAAAACUUCACGUUUCGCAAGUGAAUCCAACUCGGAUUGGAUUGCUUCUUGCCAUUUUGGCCAAUCACGUCUUUGUGAAUAUUCUUCAACAAAUUGAGGUUCAAGAUCCUCACUAUCUUGCAUAAUGCUAGAUGCAAUAUUAUAUGCAAGGACAUAAUCCAACACUAUAUCCAGUCGAUUAAAAUCUGUCUCAAUAUCGAUUGGAUUUGUUGAUAGUUCCUUAUUUUCUUGAGUCUUAAGCUCAGUGAUUUCUUCAUGAAUCUCAGGAUUGGUUCAAUCGUGGAUUUCUUCAUGAUUCUCUUUCGUAGUGUCAUCUUGAUCAUUUGUUUUCCUUUUUCUAGGAUUUCGAUCCUUAGAACUCAAUAGUUUUUCACGUUUUAGGCGUGCUUUUGACUCAUUAGCUAUGAUACUAGAAGAUUGUCCAACGGGAAUAUCAACACGGAUUGGAACAUUCACUAUAGGGAUAUGUGAUUUUUUAUCCUUUUCAGAUCCGUAAAUGCACUUGCCAUUUGAUUUGCUAUUUUCUAAAAAAGGAUAAUAUUUAGCACCUCUUUUUCAUAAAUAAAGGCACGUGGAACAAGAUGAGACAAUGAUGGAUUUUUCACGUAAUUUCUCAUUUGGUUUCACCAAUUUCUCCCCCUAAUUUUGGGAAAAGUGUCUCAUCGAAUCGACAUUCUACAAAUCGAGCAGUGAACAAAUCCCCCAUUAAUAUUUUGAGGUAGCCAAUAAUAGAGGGUAAUUCAAAUCCAACAUAUAUUCCUAACCUUCUUUGAGGAACCAUCUUGGUGCGAUAUGGUUGUGCUACUGGCACAUAUACUGCGCAUCCAAAUAUUCUUAAAUGAGAUAUAUUAGGUCCAUGACUCAAAACUAAUUGCAACGGAGAAUAUUUAUGAUAAUUUGUCGGUCUCAGACGAACCAGCAUUGCUGCAUGCAAAAUGGCAUGACCCCAAACAAAAGUGGGUAAUCUCGUUUUCAUGCGUAAUGGUCUUGCUAUCAAUUGCAGAAAUUUAAUUAAAGACUCUGCAAGACCAUUUUGAGUGUGAACAUGAGCUACAAGAUGUUCUACUGUUAUCCUAAUUGAUAAGCAAUAAUCAUUAAAUACUCGGGAUGAAAACUCAGCAGCAUUAUCGAGUCUAAUAGACUUAAUUGGAUUGUCAGGUAAUUGUGCCCGUAAUUAGAUUAUUUGUGCCAUUAAUUUUGCAAACGCUAGGUUGCGAGAUGACAAUAGGCACACAUGAGACUAUCUACAAAUGCAUCUAUUAAGACCAUAAAGUAUCUGAACGACCCAUUAGGUGGAUGAAUAGUGUAUGGGUCAAAAUCUUACCAAGGUAAUCUUGCCUAAGAAAGGAUAACUAAGAACUGAUUAGGCUGAGGUCGUGCUUAAGAAGAAACCUAUUGGCGAGCUGAGUAGCUAGGGUCGAGGUCGAGUACUCUAAUCAGCCCAAACGGCUAGUUUAGUAAUAAGAUAUUUUAUAGGAAUAUUUUAUAUAAUAUUCUAUGCACUUGUACUUUCAGUUAGGUAAAGGAUAUGUCCCAUAUAAGUGGGAAUGGAGAGAGAAUAAAGGGCAUGUAAUAUUCUAUACGAUAAGUUCUCUCAUGAAACGUUGACUCGGAAAAAGAUUACAAACAUUGUCUUUACAAAAAGAUUCAGUUUAUUGUUGAUCUUACACUUUCUCGCAUCAGAUCCCAGAAAGCUUUCUAUUUUCCACAUUUGUUUGUCUUGCAUCAUUGUCAGAGGGAGAAUCAUCCACCUCAUUAAAUAUUUGGGUGAAUCAUUCUCUCGAUUUACAUUUAUUGACAUUUAAUAUAUUUAUUGCUUGUCAUUACUCCCCCACGCAUUUGUAACAAUAUCAUUUAAUAUCCAUUUUUAUUAAAUUGGUUUAAGUGCAAUUAUAAUAUUAUACAUUGUUCAUAUCAACCGAUUUCAGAUCUAGGAUUUAUUAUGUUUAACUAGGAUUUAUCCAUUACCAUCUUAUUUAAUUAGUUUAACAAAAAGGCUUAAUACUUUUUGGUCAAAUAAUUUGGUGCCCUCUGUGGGAAAUUUUCUAAUUAAAAUUUUAGUUUCUUCUAGAUCCAAAAAAACACACAAAACUUUGCAAAAUCUCUAAUUUCCUUGUUUGCACAAAUCUGACAUGGCAGGCAACAGAGAGGAAAAGAGGAAGGCGAUAGCCGACCUCACUACCAACCUCCUCCACACCAUUAACGAAGUGGACGAAAUGGAGGGCGAAGACAUAACACAAAACACCUCUCCCAGGCAAAACAGCUCGCCUUCACCUCUCGGUAGCAUUACGACCUCGCACGGUAAGAGUGCCUCUGCAUCCACGACAGAAGAGGAACCACCAGUAGUGAAAAAUCUACUUGAAACAUGGUUGACAAACACGCUAACCAUCUUCCUCGACAAACCCGCUAGGAGGUCGAGUAGAGAAGAGACAAGAGUCGGCGUCGCAUCAGCAGCUGACGAGCAGCACGCCCCCUCCCACAACAGGUAUUACCUUCAAUGUUAGUGAUGCAAGUAAUGACACCCUCAAAUCCAUUUUGAGGAAAAUGGAGGAGAUGGAGAAUGAGAACAAAAUGCUCCGUAGCCAAAUGAAAGAGCACCAAAAAAGGGUAGACAAAAUACCGGAUGCCCCAAAACUUCUGCCAAAAAGAGACGUCGGUCAGUUUGUUGUGCAACCAUAUAGCGAUGAGGCUGCACCAUACAUCAUACCAAAGACUUUCAAAAUGCCGUCGUACUUAAAAAUAUACGACCGCACGAUGGACCCGGAGGAUCAUGUGACCCUCUAUGUCACUGCAGUAAAAGGAAAUGACCUCGUAAAAGAACAAAUAUCAUCCAUAUUGCUGAAGAAGUUUGGAGAAACCCUAACCGGGGGAGCACUGACUUGGUACUCACAGUUACCUGCGCGUUCUAUAGAAACGUUCAAGGAAAUGGCAGACAAGUUCAUCACCACCCACGUCGGGGCUAAGAAAGCAUAGGCGAGGGUGAACGACAUUCGCCAUCAAGCAAUCACCUGGCGAAGGACUCAGGGACUUCCUCACCUGGUUCAACCGUAUAAUAAUGACCCUUCCAAAUGUAUUUGAGGGGAUGGUGAUAGCCGCUUUCCAGAAUAGGCUAAGUAGAAGUGGGCCGAGGGUGACCAAAAAGUUGCUAAGCCAACUCAUGAAAUACCCUUCAACCACUUGGGACAAGAUACACAACGCCUACUGUGCUGAGGUAAGAGCCGACGAGGACGAUCUCAACGGACCUACACAACAUUUGACCUCGGUCCAAAUGGAGUAUAGGAAAGACCGGAGAAAUGAUAACAGGAGAGAUCUUUCGGGAUCCCGACCUAAUUGAGAGAGACAUAAUCCUUACGUUAGAGGCACCCUCAUGCCACCUCCACGCCACGAUGAAGGUCUAUCCAGGCCGGAAACGGGAAUCCACCAAAAUGAGAGAGGUAUGCCCCCUUUAUUAUCUGCUCACAAUUUUUGUGUUUCCCCCUCAGAAAUAAUCUACGCACUGGAUAAGCUCGGCCCAAAAGUGAAAUGUCCACAAAAGAUGAGAUCCGACCCGAGCAUUAGAAAGUCAAAUGUCCUCUGUGAAUUCCACUAGGAGCGGGGUCAUAAAACCGAUGAUUGUAUUUUCCUAUGAUAGGAGUUCGUGAACAUGCUUCAUCAAGGGCACUUGAAAGAACUGAUGAGCGAUCGUGGGAGGGCUAACUUCACCCGAGGGCAAGAACAACAUCAGGGACCGCCCAAACCACCUUCCCCAUCUCGGACCAUUCAAAUGAUCAUCGGAGGAGGCGACGAUGCAUCUAUCAACAACAUGAAGUUCACCACCACCCACAAACUCAAACGGUACAUCACCCACAAACGGUAUGACAAACUCGAAGAAAGUAUCAUCAUCGAUAAGUCAGAAACCCACGGUUUAGUCCUUCCUUACUAUGACACUCUUGUAAUUACUUUACGUGUCCUUGAUACUGAAAUAAAAUGUGUUAUGGUCGAUAAUGGGAGUGGUGCAUUCAUCAUCCACCCUCGAGUUCUCACCCAAAUGAAGCUCGAGGACAAGAUAGUGUCGCGUUGCAUCACACUAACAGGCUUUAACAAUGCAGUUGAGCUGGCAUAUGGAGAAAUCACGCUGCCUGUCCUGGCUGGCGGCGUCACUUUGGACACCACAUUCCACAUCAUGGACCAGGAUACGGUGUACAAUGCCAUCAUAGGCUGACCUUGGAUACACGCCAUGAAAGCCUACCCCUCCAGCUUAUACCAAGUCAUCAAAUUUCCUACCCCCUAGGGAGUAUUAAGCAUCCUAGGAGAGAAAUGCACGGCUCGAGAAUGCUACCGCAUCGCCUAAGACUGCACAUACACCCAACAACUAAAAGGAAAGGCCGAAGAGGCAUAACAAUUAACGAAGUCGGGGUCAGAUGGCGAUGUGGGGAAAGACGUCGUCCGAGAGCCCAAAAUCGUAGAAGCCACAAGGUCAACCGUAGAGGACCUCAACCCUAUCCAACUAGACGAUAACAACCACAACAAGAAAGCUUUCAUCGGCCAUAAGCUCCAAGAUCCAGGAAAAUUUCACCAAUUCUUAAAAAGUAACGUAGACCUGUUUGCUUUUUCCAAUGCAGACAUGCUAGGUAUCCCGAAGGAGAUAGAAACUCACAAGUUGAAUGUAGACCCCUCCAAUGAGGCAAAUUAGACGAAAGUUCAACUCCGCAAUAAAUGACACGGUUCGCGAAGAGGUUGAAAAAUUAUUAGAAAAUGGUUCUAUUAGAGAAUUGAAGUACCCUCAAUGGGUCACCAACUUGGUCAUGGUGAAAAAGAAGAACGGAAAGUGGCGGAUGUACGUAGACUUCACGGAUCUGAACAAAGCCUGCCUAAAAGACUCAUUUUGGCUGCCCCAUAUCGACAAACUCAUCGACUCUAUAGGCAUGAACUGCUAAUCUUCUUAGACGCCUACUCAGGCUACAGCCAAAUCCUCAUGGAGGAUGAGGACCAAGAAAAAACCACUUUCAUCACCCAUCAGGGGACAUACUGCUACAAGGUGAUGUCGUUCGGAUUGAAAGACAUAGGGGCAACAUAUCAGAGGCUAAUGACCAAAAUGUUCAAAGAUCAACUCGGCAAGACCAUGGAAGUAUAUAUAGAUGACAUGUUGGUUAAGUCAAAAAGGAAAGGAGACCAUAUCGACCACUUCAGGGAAGCCUUCGACAUACUCAGAAGGUACGACAUGAAAUUGAACCCCGAAAAAUACGCCUUUAGUAUAACCUUUGGAAGUUCCUCGGCUUCUUGGUAUCGCAACGAGGCGUCGAGGUCAACCCCGACUAAAUCAAGUCCAUAGAAGGAAUCCCAGAAAAUUUAACUAGCAAGAAACAAGUGCAAAAGCUAACCGACCGGAUAACCGCCCUGUCGAGAUUCAUCUCACGGUCCUCCGGUAGGUGCCACAAAUUUUUCAGCAUACUCAAAAAGGAUAACGGACUCCAAUAGAAUUUCGAGUGCGUCGACGCCUUAAAAGAACUAAAGGCCUACCUGUCUUCGCCCCCAUUGCUCACUAAGGUAGAACCUGAAGAGCGUCUCCUUGUCUACCUGGUCGUGUCCAUUGUCACAGUAAGUGCAGUCCUGGUACGAGAAAAUAAAGGUAUGCAGACUCCAAUCUACUACAUUAGCAAAACCUUGACCGACGCUGAAACGAGGUACCCCUACCUCGAGAAGCUAGAUUUGGCCUUGGUCGUAGCUUCAUGAAAGCUUAGACCUUAUUUCCAGUGCUACCCCAUCUUGGUGGUCACGACUUUUCCUCUAAGGAGUAUCCUGCACAAACUCGAACUAUCAGGCAAAUUGGCCAAGUGGUUCAUAGAGCUAAGCGAGCACGAUAUAACCUAUCAUCCGCAAAUGGUGAUAAAGUCGCAAGUUCUUGCCGACUUCGUCGCCGAUUUAAGUACGAAGAUAAUGCCCGAAGUAGAAAGGGAUACCACCACUACUUCCGUCAAAAUGCACAACCAUUGGGUCUGUACACUGAUGGUACUUCUAACGCAUCAGGAUCUAAACUAGGACUCGUGCUCGAGGUCCCAAUAGGCGAAAUAGUUUGCUAGUCCAUACGGUGCCCUGAUAGGACUAACAAUAAGGCCGAGUAUGAGGCCAUGAUUGCAGGGUUAAAACUGGCACUCAAGUACGGAGCACAAUAAGUGUCCUGCGAUGCGACUCGCAACUCAUCGUUAACCACGUUACAGGGACUUUCCAAAUUAAAGAGCAACAACUACAGAAAUACAAGGCCGAAAUUUGCAAACUGUUACCUGAGUUCGACGAAUGUCAGAUCGAUCAAAUAUCCCAAGGGCAGAACAUCGAAGCGGACGAUGUUAAACCUCCUUUUUCUCGAGGGGCAUAUGGAGUUUUUCCAAUUAAAGGGACAAUAAUCGAAAUAGGAUUAUUUAUUUAAUCAGAGUCUCCACAUGGGAUAAUUUUAUGGUGUCCCAAGUCACCGGUUUAUUUUAAACCCCAAAUCGAGGAAAUUGAUUCUAUUUAUGAUUUGAGAAAACCAAAAGACCGGGUAAGGAAUUUUGUUAAUCCGGGAGAAAGUGUAGCAUGGUCGCUUUAAUCAUACCUGGCUUAAUUAAAUUAUUUUAAUUACGUAUUUUAGAUCCUAUGUGCAUUUUACCUUUUACUGCUUUUAGAUUGCUUGAUUAUUCGUAAUUAUGAAAUUAUUUUGAAACGAGUCACGCGUAUGUGUACUCGUUUGUUUGGCGUGUCGAAGUCAUGUCACACGUACGUGUACACAACUAAUAACACUUUAUUAUUAUUACGAUUGUUUGGCCAAAGUCAUGCGAACGUGUACCUUGAUUUAUUUUGAAAAUCAUAAUUAUGUCACGCGAACGUGUACACAAUCACGAUGAUAGAUUAAGUCGCGCCUAAAGCAUUUUCUACGAAUAUUCAUUUUUAAAUCGUACUCGUGUCACGCGAACGUAUACACAAUUAAUAACAUUUUAUUAUUAUUAAGUCACCCAAUGUUGCGCGAACGGAUACUUUGGUCUUAAUUUGAAACCCGUAAUUAUAUCAUGCGAACGUCGAAAAUCUUAAAGAUUGCCUACCCGAGUCAUUGGCCUAAACAUGCUCCUAGCGGUUCAAUUAAUUAAAAGAGUAAUAGAAAUAUUUCAAUUAACUUUUAACUUUCAAUCCAAUCCCACGGCCAAAUACUUGUUUUAGUAUCUAAAUCAUCAUCCAAUUCAAUUAAUAAAUUAAUUUAACUCUGGAGUCACCAAAAUGUUAAUCAAAAUGCCUUAAACAUCUAUCUCUUAAUGAAUAAUUAAAAUAGGCAAUUUAACUCAUCUGACCAUUAGUUUCAUCCGAAUAGGGGCUAACCAAUUAACAAGAACAAAUGGAGCAAAUAAAUAGUAAGAAGUCAUCGAAAUAGAGUAAUGAAACGUUAACAUUCAGUAAAACACAGCAACAACAAACUAAUAAAACAAUAAAAGCAUAAUAUUAAGCAAAAAAUAACAGAAGGAAGGAAGAAAAUGACCUCAAAACGAUAGAACCCCGGACGAAACUCGAACCGAAAACCAACAGACAGUACCCUGACGCACGACUGAAAUGGAUCCCCUGAACAACAACCACCGACGACCUCGAAGCUUGCCGAAAAUAUCAAACUAAACUAAAAAGACAAAAACUAAACUCUGGCUGGUUUUUAGCAUUAAAGAUGCAAAAUCAUAGGGGUUUUGGAACUGAUUUUUAUGGGGUUUUAUGGUUCUGCUUUUUUAGGACCCUAUUUCUCUCGUUUUUUUGGACUGAAGAUCGUCGCUGCCCCCUCUCACUCAGUUGCCCUUUGCGUGAGCGUGUAUCUCUGUAUAUGUGUGUGUGCGAAUUCCUUUUAGGUGGUGGGCGGCUGUUUUGUUCUAGAAUGGAGGAGUUAGUCGGCUGGCGGGAGACGACAGAGGCGGAGAUGAGGGAGCAGCAGUGGCAUCGCAGCGACAUGAGCUAUAGCCGUCGCCGGUCAUCACCUCCAUCGGCAACAGCCAUGAUAACUGGAGAUGAAAGGUUGUCUCGUUGUGUCUUUGUGUGUGUUUGAGUGAUGUUUCUUCCAAGUGAGGGCGAUGGGUGAGAGAUGGUAGAGGUAAGAGGCAUUACCAGUGUUGGUUUUCCAGCAAUGAAGGCAAGAGAAAGAUCAGAUCCUUUUUCUCUAAAGGAACGGUCGCCCGUUCUCCAGUCCCGUUCAAGAGAGAUAGCUGAUGUCUUUUUAGGGAGUAGGAAUUAGGUUAGGUCAAAUGGGGAGUGUGUAUGAGCUUGAGCGAGUUGGUCUCGAUUUGGGCCUUUGGUGGCCCAAUUUGUGCUCAAAAAUUGGGAAUUUCAACUCUUAAAGUCCACAAAUUAAGAAACACAAUAAUUUUAAUAUAUACUAUUAAAUAUAAAAUCAAUUCCAAUUAAUUAAGGCAAACUAUAUGAAACUAUUUUUGUAUUUUUUAAAUUUUUGUGCUUUAAGACUAGAAUUAAAAUUAAUAAUAAAGUGAAAUCCUAUAGAAAUAAUUUAAAUAAAUAUACUAAGACUAUUAAAGAUAAUUCUAAUGUACAAGUCAAAAAUUACGUGCUUAAAGACUGCCUCGCCAAACUGGCAGCGGCCACCAAAAGCAUAACCGGAGAAGGGAACGUGAUCACCCUCCUCCAUUUAUCGAUUUGAUCAAAUCGAGGUACGAACUAUAAACUUGACUCGAGACUGGCGCAAUCGUAUUAUCUCAUAUUUUCACGACGGGGAGCUCCCACCCGAUAAAAAAGAAGCCAAGAAGCUUCGAAUGCAGGCAUCCAGGUACAACGUCAUCAAUAAAGACUUGUAGAAAAGAACAUUUGGCGGCUAGCAAAGUGCGUGCGGAGCUCAUACCGGCAAUCGAGCUCUCAUCAGAUGCCUCAUACGAGUGGACUACUAUUGGCCCACGAGGAAAAAGGAGGCCGCCGACUUCGUAAGAAAAUGCGAGAAAUGCCAAAAAUAUGCCCCCAUGAUUCACCAAACGGGCGAGCACCUCCACUCAGUCACCUCGCCUUUCCUUUCAUCAAAUAUGGAAUAGACAUCGUUGGACCCCUCCCAGCGGGACGAGGUAAUGUACGAUUUCAUUUAGUUUUAACUGACUAUUUUUCUAAGUGGAUAGAAGCAGGUGCAUUCGCCUAAAUAUGCGAGCAAGUGAUUACAUUCAUAUAUAGAAAUAUCAUAUGUCGCUUCGGCAUCCCCAAAGAAAUCAGUUGUGACAAUAGGCCCCAGUUCACUAGAAAAAGAUCGUCGAUUUCUUUGAAAAAUGGCACAUUAAAAGAAUACUCUCCAUGCUAUAUUACCCCGCGGGCAAUAGUCAGGCGAAGUCCUCCAACAAAUCAAUAAUGAACAUCAUGAAAAAAAAGCUCGAGAACGCCAAGGGACUGUGGUCGAAAUUGCUGCUGGAAGUGCUAUGGGCAUACCGCACAAUGCCGAAAACAAGCACAGGAGAAACACCACAUUCACUAGUCUAUGGGACCGAUGUAGUAAUACCGGUCGAGGUUAGAGAACCAAGCCAGAGAUAUUCGCACGAGAGCGGACCGGUUAACGACGAAAACAGGAGGCAAAACCUCGAUGAGGUCAGAGAGCGAAGAGAUAUGGCUUACACAAGGAUGGUCGCUCAAAAACAACAAGCGGAGCAAUAUUACAACAAAAAAGCUAAUGUCAGACCACUCAAAGUAGGAGACUACGUACUCAAAGCCAAAAUACAGGCGAGCAAGGACCCACGAGAAGGAAAACUAGGGACUAAUUGGGACGGCCCAUAUAAGAUUACGACAUGAGCAAGCAAAGGGUCAUUCCAACUAGAAACAAUGGAGGGGAAAUUAUUGCCGAACAAUUGGACUGACACCCACCUCAAGUACUUUAACUUAUAAGAAAAGAUGUUAUCCGGGCCUUACUCUUUUUUCCCUCACCUGAAUUUUGUCCCAACUAGGUUUUCUUAAGGAGGUUUUUGAUGAGGCGACAAGGGAGACAUCUCAUAGUUUAAGGCUCGAGCAGGAUAGAUUGCAAGUUAACAAGUUCAUUGUCUGACCCAUCAAAUACUUCUCUGGGUCGAACAAUAAAGGGACUAGAUAAACUGGGACUAGAAUACCAGCCCGAAAAGCAUGUAAACUUAUAUAUAUAUAUAUAUGAAAUCAAAGCAUACAAACACAUGUUCGAAUCAAGUUUUUACUCGAAUUGACUCGCAUUCAACCUCGCUCGAAUUGACUCCCAUUCGACCUCAUUCGAAUUAACUUGCAUUCGACCUCGUUCGAAUCAACUAAGAUCCAACAUUCGACCUCGCUCGAAUCGACUCACGUUCGACCUCGUUCGAAUUAACUCUCAUUCGACAUCGUUUGAAUUAACUAACAUUCGACCUCAUUCGAAUUAACUCACGUUCAACCUUGCUCGAGUUAAUUAAACAUUCGACAUCAUUCAAAUUCAUAUUCGAUCACACUCGAAUUUAACUCAUGCUCAACCUGAAUUAAGUUUGAUUUACAACUUCGUUCGAAUUAAGCACGACAUGGGACUUCACCCAAUUCAACCAAAGAUACACUCGACCAUGUUCGAAAUAGCAGGUACCAACACAACUCUUCCGAAGAAAAAUAUUCGAAGAAAAGUAAAAGGGCCAAGAACAUACAACGAAAAGUCAUGAUCAUUCCAUUCCAAAAAAAUAAAAUAUCUUACAAAGGGCCAGAAAGACUCCCCCACAAAAAAAGAGAAGAAGAACAAAAACUAAGUACAAAAGCAUCACGCUACAUCAUCUCCGCCUUCGCCUUUGCCACCUUCACCGCCCAGACCAGCAGUGCCGUUUCCAUCAUCACCCCCGCCAUCGGGAUAGUCAUCAUAAUACCAAGCAUCAUAUGCAAGCCCGUCCAAGUCCUUUUCACCAUCACCGGUCCCCGGCGUAGUGGGGUCAUAACUACAGGCAAUCCUAGCGUCAUGUGCCUUAAAAUGGGCAUCUUCAAAAUCGGCCUCAGGAACCUUCCCCGCCAUCAUCAAAUUCCUAUAUAUGUCUAGCUGAGCCUCAACGUGGAUCCACAUCUCAUACAAAUGCCAAGGAAUGUUGGGGAAAGCAGAAGUAUAAGAGGAGGACGGUCGAGCCAACAACUGUGCCUUCUCGGCCUCAAGAGCGGCAAUUUGAUCACUUGAGCUCAAGACAUCUCUCCCGAGCCCACCAAUUCGCUCGUCAAGCCUUGCCUCUCUUAGCACAGCCGUUUCCGCAUCAGUUGCACGUUCAAACCUAAGGACGCAGAUGGAGUCCUCCAAUGCCGCCACCUUUGCCAAAGUCGCUACCCGGGCCUCCUCGGCCCUCUCCAACUCUAUCACUUUCUCGAUCAACUCACCACUCAGACCGGCAACUCUGAUCAAGCUUUGCUCAAGCUCGGCUCGCAUGGGUCGCCACUUGCACUUUAAGGUUGACACACUCGGCCACGACCCCUUGCUCACCUCAAGUUCGUCUUCCUUGGCCCUAUGAGCCCCCUCGAGCUCACUACAUCUGCCGAUGGUCCGCACGAGCUCCUCAUCCUUCUGGUCCAACUCAUCUCUAAGGGACUAGAGGUUACCGCCUACUAUGAACCGUGCACGCAUCUCACUGUACUUUGUCACAAUACUGGAGAUACUUCGAAACCAUUUUCUGUAAAACAACCUUCUAUUUCUCCUCCAGACGGGCACUCUUGAUCUCCAGAAUGGAUGUCUUAAAAAAGAGGAAAAAAAAAGAGAAGAGCCGAAAAGAGUUUGUAAAGAUAAAAAGAGGAGAAGGGCGCAAAGUGCAAAAGUAACGAGGAAAGAAACUCACCCUCAGAGCCAUCCCAGAUAUGCCUAGUGACAAGUCGGCAUCCUUAAGAGCUUGAAGAGUCCUGUUCUCGGCGGCAGAACAAAGAGGGGCCAAAGAAGGGACCACGCUCACAGUAUCAGCUAGUAAGUCACAGUCCAAAUAUAUGACAAUCGAACGAGAUGAUCCAUCCGUUCUCACCUCAACCCGAGUAAACUCUUUGUCUAAUACCCUCUCUUCCUUAGGGUCGAUAUCGGAGUCGGAUUCAUAAUCGUCUACGACCACUCCUUUCACCCUCUCUUCGGCCGAGGAGGAAACAUCGACCCGCUCUGAUGUUGACGGAUCAAUCCUCGGAAUGACCACAGUAGCCUCUGGUUGCUCCCCUCCUUCCACGGAAGCAAUCUCCACAUUUGACGGGGGCACGAUCUCUAUGUCCAAAGCCAUAUCGCCCCCCGGUUCAGUCGUGGUAAACUCGGGAUUACCCCCCGCGGGCUCCUCCUCCUCGAUUACUCCGUCGUCAACCUCUAUCCUUUGUCUUUUCAGCAUAGCCUCUUCCUCAUCGGCCUGCGAUGACUCAUCCACCAAAUAAAACACUGAAGAAGCCGGAAUCUCCAUUAGUGGGGCAGCAGCCUAGAGUCUAGGCCUACGCGAGGCUGAGGUCCGAGAAGGAACAACAGUCUGAAUGGGGUCGCUUGCAGCCGCAACGAGUAAAGGCCCAGUCGAAGUACUUGACUAGCGAAAAGUGGGAGUAGGAGUGCUCGCGCUCCUCGAGGCCCUAUGACCUACCAAAAGAGAAUGACUUAAGUAAAAAAUGAAAGGAGAGAAAAGACGGUACGAAGGUCAAAACUACUAAGAUCGAAGUGAAAUGACUCACCGGCUGAAGGUUUGCGCCCAAACCUCUCAUUGAACUGCGACCACUCAUGGAUCCCCAUCGUAUGAGGUAAAAUUUGGCUCACCCAGUAACAAAGGUCGGUGACCAGCAAAGGAGGAUCCUUCUCGGCAACAUAAAAAAGAAGAGGAGUGAGAACGAUCAGAUCGCCAAAAAGAAACAACAAACAGCUAUUUGGGAGAAACACUUACGAGCAAAGUUUCAUUCCUCGAAAAACCCAUUAGGGCUCGACGCCACGUGCUCCAUCCUCACGUAGAAGAAAUUGACCCAAAACGGCGAUUUGUUUUAUCAUAUAUCUUCACCACCAGUCCCUUUGUCCCACGAUAGAGAAGGUGUAUCAUCGUACCCUUGUAAACACUUGGGGCGAAAACGUGCAGCAGAUGACGGAGAGAAAUCCCACGGUUGGCGAGCUCCACGUACUUGAUAAGCAUAAGGAAAAGCUUAUAGAUGUACGGGGAGAGCUGAGCCGGGCAUACACCAUAAUAGCGGUAGAAGUCCUCCGCCAAGGAAGGAAGAGGAAGCAUAUAGCCGACGACAAACAGAUACAUGUAGAACGCGCAGUACCCUGGGCGAUGUAUCUGCUCCACGUCGUUACCGGCAGGGAUAAGUUCAACGUGGUUUGGAAUUAGCCAUUUAGCCCUAAAUGCAACGAGCGCCACUGUAUCCAUCUCAGAAACGACGAGUUCAGGAUCAUCUUCAGGUCGGUUCUUGAAAUCCGACCUGACCCUCCCCGAACAUGGAACUAUCUCAUCCAUAGUGGGGAAACUCUCAUCUUCUACAAUGGCCACUCCUUCUUCAUGAGAAGGUAUGUCCACAGUCGACGCGACAAGAUUAAAAUCUCCCUCAGGGUUAGAAGAUGCACUAGCCAUUUUCUAUCACGUAUAUAAGAAGAAAGUGCAAAUAUAAAAGGGGUAACAAUGGCAGAAAAUGCUAAGAGAAGGGAGAGAUAAAGAUGCAAGAAUUCUGAAUAAGAAGAAGAAGGGGAAGCUUGGAGUUUCGAAUGCUUAAGAAAUGGAGCAGCUCAAAUGAGGAAUUCUCAUCCCUAUUUAUAAGAAUACUGGCACCCUAAUCGAGAAAGUCAAACGCUGCCACAUUGAUUUCAAAACGGAAGAGGCGUGGGAAACGACGUAACGUACUGAGAACAUACGCCAUAAUGACACAUGAUGUAGUGAUGUCAUUUCAAACUGACGUAACGGUCAGAUGUGGCUCUUAAAGCGUCACGUCGUCAUCUCGCCAUAAAAAGGUUACUCCUUGGCCAACAUGCUCAGAUUUCUCAAAUUGCAACUGGCGAAGUCCGUCCAUCGAGCUUGUCUAAAAAUAACCCCGACGGGCGGAGGGACUAACUGUAUGGGUCGAAAUCUAACCAAGAGAAUCUUGACUAAGAGAGGAUAACUAAGAACCGAUUAGGCCGAGGUCGUGCUUAAGAAGGAACCUAUUGGCGAGCUGAGUAGCUAGGGUCGAGGUCGAGUACUGAGAUUAGCCCAAACAUCUAGUUUAAUAAUAAGAUAUUUUAGAGAAAUAUUCUAUAUAAUAUUCUCUGCACUUAUACUUUCAGUUAGGUAAGAGAUAUGUCCCAUAUAAGUGGGAAUAGAGAGAGAAGAAAGGGCAUGUAAUAUUCUAUAUGAUAAGUUCUCUCAUGAAAAGUUGACUCGGAAGAAGAUUACAAACAUUGUCUUUACAAAAAGAUUCAGUUUGUUGUUGAUCUUACACUUUCUCGCAUCAGAUCCGAGAAAAUUUUCUAUAUUCCAACGUUUGUUUGUCUUAAAUCAUUGUUAGAGGGAGAAUCAUCCACCUCAUUGAAUAUUUGGGUGAAUCAUUCUCUUUGUUUACAUUUAUUGUUAUUUAAUAUAUUUAUUGCUUGUCAUUACUCCCCCACGCGUUCAUAACAAUAUCAUUAAACAUCCCUUUGUACUAAAUUGGUUUAAGUGCAAUUAUACGUUGUUCAUAUCAACAGAUUUCAGAUCUAGGAUUUAUUAUGUUUAACUAGGAUUUACCUGUUACCAUCUUAUUUAAUUAGUUUAACAAAAAGGCUUAACACUUUUUGGUCAAACAAAUAGGUCCACAAAUAUUCCUUUAUAUACUUUCCAAAAACGGAGAGGACUUAACCCCAACCUUUGUUGGUGAUAGUCUAAUAACUAACUUGCCUUGAUAACAAGAAGUGCAAGAAAAUUCAUUAAUUAAAAAAAUCUUUAAAUUUUUUAAUGGAUGGCCAUUUGAGUUUUCUAUAAUUAGUUUCAUCAUAAUUGACUUCAGGAUGUCACAAUCGAUCAUGCCAAAGUACAAAAGUAUUGAAGUCAGUAAUUGGUUUACGAUAGAACGUGCCUUAAUUGCACUAAUUAUUGUCCAAUACAAACCACAAAAUAAAGAUGUGAACUUCUCAAGAUAUUCAUUUCGGCGAAUAUCUUUAAAACUCAACAAAGUUCUCUUGAUCUUUGGAAAAGAAGUAUUAUCUAUGAUAACUAUUAUUCCCCUAGGCAGAGUUAUAGUAAUUCUUCCAGAACCGUCAAUCAGAUUACUACUAUCAGAAAUUAUAGUAACAUCUGCUUUACACAUACUUAAUAAGAAAAAAAUAUUCUCUUUGAAUAUUGUAUGUAUCGUACAUGAAUCAAUUAAACAAAUAUUUUUACAAUUGAACUUCGAUCCAAAUUUGCUCUAUGAGAUAUCCAUAUUUUGCUUAAUCUCUCAAGAAAUUCUUGAUACGGUAGAGUCUCGUGCUAAUAACAUGAAAUAAAAUAAUAAAAAAAUAUUGCAAAAAAAAAAAGGAAGAGCGAAUUCUAUCGAUUUGAGAUAGAAUUAUGAUGAAUAGAAUACCUUUAUUUAUAAAAAAAACUUUAAAUAAAAGUCUAUUUAUAAUAAAAUUUCAAUUGUUCUUCCAACAUUGUCCAAAUCCCUCCUGGAGGUGGAAAUGAUCAUUAUAAGCUAAUAACAACCGAGUGACUAGUCUUUGAUUCAAGUAGGAAGUACAUAAAACUCUUCGGUUGAAGGAAUUACAUAAAAAAUCAUCGAGUAAUUAAAAAAGCAUUUAAAUACUUAGGCACUUACAAAUGAGUGAUCAUUGGUAACUUUCAUUUAACCUUGUAAGUACAGAUCCACACAGUAACAUAACGAGAACCGAUAGCGAGAAACCAGAACAGUAACACGAAAUACAGUAUCAAAAAUAGACUCUUACCCAACCCAGAAACAUAAUCACCAAAUUUUUAUUUUUAUUUUUUAAAAAAAAAACUAUCUAAAGGAGGACAUAUAUUUGACACAAUCAAACCCAGUUUCAGAAUCUUAUUAAUUCCUCCAGCUUCCCUCGGACGCACCACCACCUCUUGAGUAGCGGGACCCACCAUCACCACCGCCAUAACCUCCACCAUAUCCACGGUCACGGCCACCUCCAUAACUACCACCGUAGCCACCACCGCUGUAGCCACCCUCACGUCUGCCACCUCCAUAGCCGCCGCCGCCACCGUAUCCGCCACCACCACUGUAUCCACCCUCACGGCGUCUGCCACCUCCAAAACCACCGCCACCGCCGCCGCUUCCGCGUGAUUGAGCUUCAUUAACGGUGAUGUUACGACCGUCAAGGUUCUGGCCGUUCAUUCCUUCAAUUGCGUCCCUCAUAGCUUUCUCAUCAUUGAAGGUAACAAAGCCAAAUCCCCUUGAUCUUCCAGUUUCACGAUCGUUAAUGAUCUGAAAUCAAAAUCCGUAAAAGAUCAGAUCUAAACAGAUCUACAUGAAUUACAACAAAAAAACAAACAGAUUUAAACAUGCAUGGUAUAUAGAAAUAAUACUCCAUCCGUUACAAGAAUAAAUUAUGUCACUGAAAAUAGGAAACAAGUGAACAAUUCAUCUAAUUUUCGUGAAUUAAAAUACGAAUUUUCCAUAUAUAUAUAAAAGCGAUCAAUGUUCAAAUCUAUGGAAGAUCGGAACGUACCGUAUAAGGGAACGGAAUAACGUAACAGUAACAAAUAGUAACAUAGUAACAGAGUGAAUCAAGUAAACCAGAGAGUGAAAGUAACAGUAACAGUAACAGAGAGAUCAAUGAUCAGAUCGGCUCGGAUCCGAUCUCAGCUCUGCAGUGCAACAAACGGACCUUC